UUUAUUGUAUUGAGAACUUUUGGUCGAUCUACUUGUAAGUGUUAUCUAUAUAUGUUUGGCCGCUAUUGUGCCAAAAACCGAAGAAAAACUAAAGGUUGGCUACCGAUUGCGUUUAUUCGAUGCUCAAGGAUUUUGAGGCAGGUGCUUAAUGGUAUUCUAUAUGUGUAAGUUACUAUGAUAUUAAUUUUCUGUUUCCCUUGAUCAAUAAUUUCAUUGCGUUUCAGUGGUAAAUUUCUACUUUUAGUCAACUAGACUAGCAAUACUAAUUACCGCACCUUCACACAUUAUAGAUUAAUUGUUAUAGAUAUUUGAAGAUGACGGCUUCUCGCCGGUGAUCAUAGAAAAAUAUGGAACUUGACAACUUGUCGAAGAAAAUAGGUUAA
This 383-nucleotide long non-coding RNA is filed under the name Nicotiana tabacum (common tobacco). RNAcentral's name for it is "long non-coding RNA (NTAB_LNC019211)". The record is from RNAcentral. Lineage: Eukaryota; Viridiplantae; Streptophyta; Magnoliopsida; Solanales; Solanaceae.